GGAAGGAUCAUUAUUGAAUAAACUUGAACAGGCUGUUGCUGGCCCUGAAAGGGGUACUGUGCACGCUUGUCAUCUUUACUUCUCCAACUGUGCACACAUUGUAGACCCUGGAGCUUUUGAUUUGUUUCGAUUGAGGACUGCUGUGCCCUAGGCCAGCUUUGCCUUGCAUCUCCAGGUUUCUAUGUUUUAUCACAAACCUCUGAACAUGUUUAGAAUGUUGAAUAUAAAAAGUUAAAAUAUACAACUUUCAGCAACGGAUCUCUUGGCUCUCGCAUCGAUGAAGAACGCAGCGAAAUGCGAUAAGUAAUGUGAAUUGCAGAAUUCAGUGAAUCAUCGAAUCUUUGAACGCAUCUUGCGCUCCUUGGUAUUCCGAGGAGCAUGCCUGUUUGAGUGUCAUUAAGUUCUCAACCACAACUGGUUUCAUAUCAGGUGUGGCUUGGAUAUUGGGGGUUACCUUUUGCAGGCUUCAGAAAUGAAGUCUGCUCCCCUGAAAAGUAUUAGUGGUAUCUGAGCAGAAUCUACUACAGGUGUGAUAAUUUGUCUAUGCCUUGGUGGACUGCAAAAAAAA
This 568-nucleotide ribosomal RNA is filed under the name uncultured fungus. RNAcentral describes it as "eukaryotic LSU rRNA". The stretch from base 243 to 396 matches the Rfam family "5.8S ribosomal RNA". Lineage: Eukaryota; Fungi. The record is from RNAcentral.